GAUGAACGCUGGCGGCGUGCCUAAUACAUGCCAGUCGAGCGAACGGACGAGAAGCUUGCUUCUCUGAUGUUAGCGGCGGACGGGUGAGUAACACGUGGAUAACCUACCUAUAAGACUGGGAUAACUUCGGGAAACCGGAGCUAAUACCGGAUGAUAUUUUGAACCGCAUGGUUCAAAAGUGAAAGACGGUCUUGCUGUCACUUAUAGAUGGAUCCGCGCUGCAUUAGCUAGUUGGUAAGGUAACGGCUUGCCAAGGCAACGAUGCAUAGCCGACCUGAGAGGGUGAUCGGCCACACUGGAACUGAGACACGGUCCAGACUCCUACGGGAGGCAGCAGUAGGGAAUCUUCCGCAAUGGGCGAAAGCCUGACGGAGCAACGCCGCGUGAGUGAUGAAGGUCUUCGGAUCGUAAAACUCUGUUAUUAGGGAAGAACAUAUGUGUAAGUAACUGUGCACAUCUUGACGGUACCUAAUCAGAAAGCCACGGCUAACUACGUG
Molecule: ribosomal RNA, 497 nt
Filed under: uncultured bacterium
Lineage: Bacteria
Description: partial 16S ribosomal RNA
Rfam family: Bacterial small subunit ribosomal RNA
Source: RNAcentral